Molecule: ribosomal RNA, 460 nt
Filed under: uncultured bacterium
Lineage: Bacteria
Description: partial 16S ribosomal RNA
Rfam family: Bacterial small subunit ribosomal RNA
Source: RNAcentral
CCUACGGUAGGCAGCAGUGAGGCAUAUUGGUCAAUGUGCGGGAGCCUGAACCAGCCAAGUCGCGUGCGGGAAGAAGGUCCUGAGUAUUGUAAACCUCUUUUGCCAGGGGACAAAGGCGGCCACGGGUGGCCGUAAGAGGGUACCUGGAGAAAAAGCAUCGCCUAACUCCGUGCCAGAAGCCGCGGUAAUACGGAGGAUCCGAGCGUUCUCCGUAUUUAUUGGGUUUAAAGGGAGCGUAGAUGGGUUGUUAAGUCAGUUGUGAAAGUUUGCGGCUCAACCGUAAAAUUGCAAUUGAUACUGGCAGUCUUGAGUACAGUUGAGGUAGGCGGAAUUCGUGGUGUAGCGGUGAAAUGCUUAGAUAUCACGAAGAACCCCGAGUGCGAAGGCAGCUUACUAAACUGUGACUGACAUUGAUGCUCGAAAGUGUGGGUAUCAAACAGGAUUAGAUACCCGGGUAGUC